UACAGAGGUCUCAAGCGUUGUUCGGAUUCAUUGGGCGUAAAGGGCGCGUAGGCGGCGGGGUAAGUCGGGUGUGAAAUCUCAGAGCUCAACUCUGAAACUGCACUCGAUACUGCUCUGCUUGAGGACUGGAGAGGAGACUGGAAUUCACGGUGUAGCAGUGAAAUGCGUAGAUAUCGUGAGGAAGACCAGUGGCGAAGGCGGGUCUCUGGACAGUUCCUGACGCUGAGGAGCGAAAGCGUGGGGAGCGAACAGG
This 253-nucleotide ribosomal RNA is filed under the name uncultured bacterium. RNAcentral describes it as "partial 16S ribosomal RNA". It matches the Rfam family "Bacterial small subunit ribosomal RNA", at positions 524 to 776 of the family's 1533-position model. The record is from RNAcentral.